This 22-nucleotide microRNA is filed under the name Homo sapiens (human). Its description in RNAcentral is "hsa-miR-4687-5p". Lineage: Eukaryota; Metazoa; Chordata; Mammalia; Primates; Hominidae. The record is from miRBase by way of RNAcentral.
CAGCCCUCCUCCCGCACCCAAA